Molecule: long non-coding RNA, 979 nt
Filed under: Jatropha curcas
Lineage: Eukaryota; Viridiplantae; Streptophyta; Magnoliopsida; Malpighiales; Euphorbiaceae
Description: long non-coding RNA (JCUR_LNC000448)
Source: RNAcentral
AAGAUCAAACGGUUUCAUGAAAUCUUUUAUUUCCUUGGUUCCUUGGCGCAUUCAAUCAAGAAAACAAAUUAAAAUUGUUAAAAUAUUCAGUAAACUUGAACUAAAAUCACAACCAAUGCAGUAAUUCAUCAAUGAGCUAAAUAUCACAAAACCAAAAAAUAAUCAACUAAAACACCGAGUUCAAAUUCCAUGAGCUAAUUACAAAAAAUUAAUUUUAGUUUAAAAUACAAAUAAAAACAAGCAAAUCAGCUAAGUCAAAGCUAAACUAAGCUGCCGAUCAUAGUUAUAUACUAGAAUACAGAAGAAUUAAAGGUCACCUAUCUAAACAAAUAGUAACCCACCGAUUAUCCGAUUUGACGCGAAGAACAACUUAUUAACCUCAAAAAUCCAACAGGUCCAAGGGUAUAACGUAUAAGCUUCUACUCAUACUUGAUCUAGAACAAAAAGAUCAAAAGCCGAUACAGGCUGUAGUGUAAGAUAAAAAUAUUCUAGAUAUAGAGAGCUUCUUGUAGCUUCUAUGCCCAUCAUCGAUGAGACCAAAGAGAGGAAACGGAGAAAGAGAGAAACUUGGAGAGGGAAAGAGAGAGAAGAGGAAGAGAGAGAGAGAGAGAGAGAGAGAGAGAGAGGAGAGCGACAAGAAGUGAAAAACAGAGUAACGUCUCGAAAUUGAAAUUGAAAUGAAUUUGGUUGAGGGAGAAGAAAGAAGGGGAUCGAAUACGGUGAGUUUUGAUGAUUUCCAAGGACUUGGAUUAAGUUAAUCCAAGCUGGUUUGGUGAGUCCCGUUUUAUAUUACUUUAUUCAAACCCUAGUUGAUUUUAAAUUUAGGGUGAUUAUUUCUAAGUUUCUAAGUUAGGGUGUCAGGAAGACGAAUAGUAGUUUAAAGUGUUAUUGUAAUAAGUGGUAAACCUCAGGGUAUUUUUAUUCGUUAAGUUUUAUUUUAUGGAAGAGUUAUAAAAUAAAAAGAUCAAAUCGGUACUUG